GCAAAGCCUGAAAGCAGGAAAACUGCUCAGUCCCUUAACGCAGCCACUCAAAAUCCAAGCACAAGUUCACGAAGCUGAAAAUGCGGUGAAAGUUAUGAAGAAAAUUUAAGAUAUUCAGGGUGGAUUCAAUUUAGAAUGAGACAGAAACUAAAAAGUUAUAGAUUGUAAAUAAUUAAUUUCUAACCUCUUUAGACUUUCAACAGAAAAGAUGGAACUUCAGUUGCACCAAAAAUAGCUAUACCGAUGGAAGCCGUACAUCAGAAUUGAUUGCAAUUAAAUACUUAUGCAAUCGAAUUAAACGAAGAACAUUCCGACGGGGAAGUGGAAAUCAAGAAAUUAUUAAAGAGUGCAGUGGGUAGCAACGAAGGCACUAACCCUGUGGUUAUGAAGAAAAUAUUGUCGGUCUCAGAAUACGAAAAUUUGUAAUUUCAUUACAAAUAUUGGUCUGAAAUGACCCUUAAACAUUUUUUUUUGAAAUAAUCACAAGACAUUCCACUAUUGCACCACAAACAUCGCUGCUUAACAAAGUCUUAAAUCAAGAAUUAUUAAAAUUAAACACCGAUGAAAUUGAAUCGGACAAAGAAAAUUCCGACGGCGAAGUUGAAAUAUACGAAUUAAAAAAGAAAAUUCGAAGGCUAGAAAAUGAAUCACUGUCUAAAGAUGCAAAGAUUUCCGAAACGAUGGUUAUGAAUUUAAAUCUACAACUUAAACUAAAUUCAUACGAACAGAGUGGUAAUGGUUCGGAACCCGUUUAUCAGAGCACAGGAAAUGCUACUCCCGUGGGUGCUGAAAUAGUUGGAAAAAUCCAUCUUGGACGAAACGUGUACAUAUCGAAAAUAAGUACACCAAAGUACUCUUCGGUGCUUCAAUUCCAGCUUUAUAUUUUAAGAUGUUGGCUCUUCAGUUUUUUGGGCGGGAUGUAUUAAUGGCCAGUUCAAUAAGUGGAAAAGUGUCCAAUAGGACGAGGAAGAUAAAUAAUAAGGAUAGACCUGCACUGAACCCUUGCGUCUUACUUGCCUUUGAAGAUAUAUUUGCAAUUUGGGCAAAACCUGCAAAACCACCGCUAAUUGAGGUACAAAUCCAGAAUUUUAUAUGCCAAGCACCAAGGCUUAUUGGACACUAUAUUACCUAAUUAAGACGCCGACACCUUAGAAAAGACCCGAAGCUCUCUCCCAGUCUGAUGAGGAAACAAAUCUGGGGGAUAAAAGUUAUCCUCAAAAUAAAACGAACGGCGAAACUAUGGAGGAUCCGGCUCAACCUAUCGACGAUCCGUCUGGUCGUAUCGAAGAUUCUACUGAUCCAGUCGAGGACCCAACUUAUCCCGAGUUUGCAGGGAACUUUGAUAUUGUGCUUUUCAAAGGUAUGGAGGAAGAAAUUUUGGAAGAUGAUCACAUUGAUCCACUUCAACAUGAAGGCGAAGGCGAAGGUUCCAGCAUUCACUAAUAUAUUUCUAACAAAAUUUUGCACGUCUAAAAAGUUGCAUCAAAAAUAUUUCUUACUCUUUUGCCAUAUCUUACAUAGUUCACAAAAAAAAUUGAAAAAUUAUAUUUUGAGAGGAACAAAAUGAUCCUGGACUAAAACCGGUUUAGCUCACAUAGAGCUGAUAGGAUGGCUUUCUUCUAUUAGCAGAAACCUUCCAAAUACAUAGGGAAGAAUAAAAAAGUGUCGUUUUCCAGAAAAUAUUUUUUUCAUGUU
Molecule: long non-coding RNA, 1695 nt
Organism: Belonocnema kinseyi
Lineage: Eukaryota; Metazoa; Arthropoda; Insecta; Hymenoptera; Cynipidae
Exons: 6
Source: RefSeq, a predicted model, not a curated record